This 465-nucleotide ribosomal RNA is filed under the name Vreelandella stevensii. Its description in RNAcentral is "partial 16S ribosomal RNA". It matches the Rfam family "Bacterial small subunit ribosomal RNA", at positions 338 to 795 of the family's 1533-position model. The record is from RNAcentral. Lineage: Bacteria; Pseudomonadati; Pseudomonadota; Gammaproteobacteria; Oceanospirillales; Halomonadaceae.
CCUACGGGUGGCUGCAGUGGGGAAUAUUGGACAAUGGGCGAAAGCCUGAUCCAGCCAUGCCGCGUGUGUGAAGAAGGCCUUCGGGUUGUAAAGCACUUUCAGUGGGGAAGAAAGCCUUGGGGCUAAUACCCUCGAGGAAGGACAUCACCCACAGAAGAAGCACCGGCUAACUCCGUGCCAGCAGCCGCGGUAAUACGGAGGGUGCGAGCGUUAAUCGGAAUUACUGGGCGUAAAGCGCGCGUAGGCGGUCUGAUAAGCCGGUUGUGAAAGCCCCGGGCUCAACCUGGGAACGGCAUCCGGAACUGUCAGGCUAGAGUGCAGGAGAGGAAGGUAGAAUUCCCGGUGUAGCGGUGAAAUGCGUAGAGAUCGGGAGGAAUACCAGUGGCGAAGGCGGCCUUCUGGACUGACACUGACGCUGAGGUGCGAAAGCGUGUGUAGCAAACAGGAUUAGAUACCCCAGUAGUC